AAAAAGAAAAAGAGAAGAAGGAGAAGAAGAAGAUGAAGAAUUAAAGUGCAUUAAUGGAAAUGGUAUGUAUUAAUCAACAAAUGUUGACCAAAGAUAGGGAAGAUCAAAGUCAAACAAUAGAAAACAGAAGCAAGAUGGAGAUUAGAAGUCAAGAAAUAAACAAAAUAUUUUUGGCAAUUUUAAUAUUUAAAAUAAAACUUGAAUUAAAAUAAUAAAGAAAGGUCAAACUUCAAAUUCACUUCAAAUUAACUUUGAAAAGUCCAAGUGAAUUAUCCCAAGUUCAAC
RNAcentral lists this long non-coding RNA (285 nucleotides) under Lathyrus oleraceus (garden pea). Its description in RNAcentral is "Pisum sativum (pea) long non-coding RNA (PSAT_LNC038165)". Lineage: Eukaryota; Viridiplantae; Streptophyta; Magnoliopsida; Fabales; Fabaceae. The record is from RNAcentral.